This 291-nucleotide ribosomal RNA is filed under the name uncultured bacterium. RNAcentral's name for it is "partial 16S ribosomal RNA". It matches the Rfam family "Bacterial small subunit ribosomal RNA", at positions 775 to 1067 of the family's 1533-position model. The record is from RNAcentral.
GGAUUAGAUACCCUGGUAGUCCAUGCAGUAAACGAUGGGUGCUAGUCGUCGGACUUUUGUUCGGUGUCGUAGCUAACGCGUUAAGCACCCCGCCUGGGGAGUACGGUCGCAAGAUUAAAACUCAAAUAAAUUGACGGGGACCCGCACAAGCAGUGGAGCAUGUGGUUUAAUUCGACGCAACGCGAAGAACCUUACCAGCGUUUGACAUGGGAAGUGCCGGUUACAGAAUGGUAACCUUCAGUUCGGCUGGCUUCCGCACAGGUGCUGCAUGGCUGUCGUCAGCUCGUGCCG